This 821-nucleotide ribosomal RNA is filed under the name Sistotremastrum sp. RNAcentral describes it as "partial large subunit ribosomal RNA". It matches the Rfam family "Eukaryotic large subunit ribosomal RNA", at positions 77 to 915 of the family's 3401-position model. Lineage: Eukaryota; Fungi; Basidiomycota; Agaricomycetes; Sistotremastrales; Sistotremastraceae. The record is from RNAcentral.
CCCCUAGUAACGGCGAGUGAAGCGGGAAAAGCUCAAAUUUAAAAUCUGGCGGUUAUGCCGUCCGAGUUGUAUUCUAGAGAGGUGUUUUCUGUGCUGGACCGUGUAUAAGUUUCUUGGAACAGAACGUCAUAGAGGGUUAGAAUCCCGUCUUUAACACGGACUACCAGUGCUCUACGAUUCACUUUCAAAGAGUCGAGUUGUUUGGGAAUGCAGCUCAAAAUGGGUGGUAAAUUCCAUCUAAAGCUAAAUACAGGCGAGAGACCGAUAGCGAACAAGUACCGUGAGGGAAAGAUGAAAAGCACUUUGGAAAGAGAGUAAAACAGUACGUGAAAUUGUUGAAAGGGAAACGCUUGAAGUCAGUCGUGUUUUCUGGGACUCAGCCUGGCUUUUGCCUGGUGCAUUUCCUAGUUAACAGGCCAACAUCAAUUUUGGUCAAUAGACAAAGGCUAGAGAAAUGUGGCAACUCCGGUUGUGUUAUAGUCUCUAGUUGUAUGUAUUGACUGGGAUUGAGGAAUCCGGGUACUUGUACUGUGGGAUGUUGGCAUAAUGGCUUUAAACGACCCGUCUUGAAACACGGACCAAGGAGUGUAACAUGCUCGCGAGUGUUUGGGUGGAAAACCCGAGCGCGUAAUGAAAGUGAAAAGUUGAGAUCCUUUUGGAGCAUCGACGCCCGAGCCUGAUGUUUUCGGACGGCUUUGCGGUAGAGCGAGUAUGUUGCGACCCGAAAGAUGGUGAACUAUUCCUGAGGAGGGCGAAGCCAGAGGAAACUCUGGUGGAGGCUCGUAGCGUUUCUGACGUGCAAAUCGAUCGCAGGACUUGGG